This 283-nucleotide long non-coding RNA is filed under the name Brassica napus (rape). RNAcentral's name for it is "long non-coding RNA (BNAP_LNC007020)". Lineage: Eukaryota; Viridiplantae; Streptophyta; Magnoliopsida; Brassicales; Brassicaceae. The record is from RNAcentral.
AGUUAUUGGAUUUAGGGUUUAGAGUUUAAGAUUUAUGGUUUAGAGUUUUUGGGUUUAGUGUUUAGUGUUUAGGGUUUAGGAUUUAGGGUUCAGAGUUUAGGAUUUAGAGUUUUGGGUUUAAUGUUUAGAAUUUGGGUUUUAAAUUUUAGGGUGUUUGGUUUAGGAUUUAUGGUCUAGAGUUUAGGGUUUAGGAUUUAGGGUUUAGAUUUUAGAUUUUUAAAUUUUAGGAUUUUGCAGAUGGUAUUAACGUUGGUACUGGUUUUUUUAAGCUACUUUUAAAAGA